RNAcentral lists this ribosomal RNA (497 nucleotides) under uncultured bacterium. RNAcentral describes it as "partial 16S ribosomal RNA". It matches the Rfam family "Bacterial small subunit ribosomal RNA", at positions 28 to 507 of the family's 1533-position model. The record is from RNAcentral.
GACGAACGCUGGCGGCGUGCCUAAUACAUGCAAGUUGAGCGCUGAAGGUUGGUACUUGUACCAACUGGAUGAGCAGCGAACGGGUGAGUAACGCGUGGGGAAUCUGCCUUUGAGCGGGGGACAACAUUUGGAAACGAAUGCUAAUACCGCAUAAAAACUUUAAACACAAGUUUUAAGUUUGAAAGAUGCAAUUGCAUCACUCAAAGAUGAUCCCGCGUUGUAUUAGCUAGUUGGUGAGGUAAAGGCUCACCAAGGCGAUGAUACAUAGCCGACCUGAGAGGGUGAUCGGCCACAUUGGGACUGGGACACGGCCCAAGCUCCUACGGGAGGCAGCAGUAGGGAAUCUUCGGCAAUGGACGAAAGUCUGACCGAGCAACGCCGCGUGAGUGAAGAAGGUUUUCGGGUCGUAAAACUCUGUUGGUAGAGAAGAACGUUGGUGAGAGUGGAAAGCUCAUCAAGUGACGGUAACUACCCAGAAAGGGACGGCUAACUACGUG